Long non-coding RNA from Lolium rigidum, 194 nucleotides. RefSeq lists it as uncharacterized. The transcript has 3 exons. NCBI's taxonomy places the organism in Eukaryota, Viridiplantae, Streptophyta, Magnoliopsida, Poales, Poaceae. The record is from RefSeq and is a predicted model, not a curated record.
GUUGCCUCUCCGACAGAAAAUCUAGCACAGGGUGAAGCAUCAACAAAGGAGAUAAUUGAGAAUGGUAAGAAGUGGAUGGGCAAGGAAGUUAUGUUGGCUUUUGAGAAAUACAUUGAAGGAAAGAAGCAAUUCAAAGACGUGUUGUAUUGCUUCGAUGAGAUUAAAUACCAGUGCUUCAGUGUGGAGAGCUACAG